Gossypium arboreum is the source of this 991-nucleotide long non-coding RNA. RefSeq lists it as uncharacterized. NCBI's taxonomy places the organism in Eukaryota, Viridiplantae, Streptophyta, Magnoliopsida, Malvales, Malvaceae. The transcript is spliced from 4 exons. The record is from RefSeq and is a predicted model, not a curated record.
AAAAGUGAGAAUUUGGAUAUACACUGCAAAAUUGGCAUGCUUCAUUAAUAUUGCAAAAAGUACCGGUCGGAUACAAAGAUAAUUAUAGUUCUCGGGCAACCAAAAGAGUAGAAUAAUAAAUAAAUCAGACCUUCCUCUUCCCAGCCUUAAAAACCUCAACAUGCCAGUAAACGUUUCAGAUUGAUGAAAAAAUCGAUGAACCGCUCUUAAUCUGAAUAUUUCAUACCUCUUCUAGCUUCUUACUGCCCCGUGAACCUAAGUUGGGGUGAUGCCUGGUCUGUCUUUCCAGUGCCACCAGUUCUUGAAUCGUGGUCGGAGCUUCCUCCACCCACCAGGCAUCCCGUUUUCGACUGAAUCUUUCUCUAGCCAAUAGCUUCUUUAUCACCACCGUGGAGUCACCUUCGACCUCCAUAGACUAGAAGCCUGUUUCUUGAGCAAAUCUGAGGGCUUGGAUGCUCGCCAAGGCCUCUGCUAUCAACACAACUACUGCAUCCCCAGCGUACCAACAUCGGAAGUGAAAAUACUACACUAAAUAUAUGAAUUAAGAUCAAGAAAAACGGAGUCCGAACCUAGACCGGGGAAAGAACAAGAUUUUGGACUAAAUCGAAUUAAUUGUCCAUAUUUUGUACGGAGUAUCACCAAGCUUGCUCAAGGAUCGAAGGACGUCGUAGGCUCGAUCACACUAUCAAUUGGAUAUUUGGGUAUAGUUUGUUUCAACAUUUUGAGUAUGGCAUAUAUAGGGACUUGGUCUAUUUGUUAUGUGUCAUAUUGAUUAGUCAAAUGUGUUGGCUCAUGAAGGUAUUACGACUAUUUUGUAUAUGGCCAUGAGAGGUGGCUCGUAUUGAUUAUUAGGUUGUAACCCUAACUAUUGGUAUAUGCAUGCAAAUGUGCUUAGGCUUUAAUGUGGUUAUGGUUGCUUUUGGCUAAUGAAUGUGAUGGAUGGCAUGUAUGUUUGGUGUAUGAAAUAUGAUUUAAUGUGCAUGACAAUAAA